GGAGACCUUGAGAGAGGCAGCUGCUGAGAACUCACACAGACCCAUGAUCACACAGGACCGAGACACUAAUGAAUAGGUAAUGUACAUUUGUUCCUGCUGUGUGAUUGUCCAUCUGUCUGUGCCUGGACAACCACUCCAUCCCCACUGGAUGCAGUAAACAGCACCACUGCCCACUGGCAUUGUGAACCUGGUGUCCAUCACUGAGCUCUGCUGGGGAUAGUCUAUGUGGCAGCUGCUGUAGCUCUUGCUCAGAGUGCUGGAUCCCAGAGUAUUGCAGAAGCCCAAGUGGCCAGACCUAGAGCAAGAGCCCAAAAUCAGAACCCUGCAAGCUGGAGACCAGCAGGCAUUACCAUCUGGGGCUCCCGUAGGAGCUGGCGGUGCCAGGCCACGCUGUCCACUCGACUCUGCUGCUUGUUCCAGUGCAUGAGGAGGUGACCUUAACUUCCAGACAAUGUGGCCAGAUGAGGGAACACAGACUGCAUGGAGGACCUUGGAAGAGUUUGCGGGGCACAGCCCUGCUGGCACAAAGCCUGACACAGAAGGACACAGACACCCCUGCACGGUGAACAGUGACUGAUACUUGUCAUUUACAAGCCUCUUCUUCAGCUCAUCCCCAUGUUGAAAGCAAGAGCUGCUGAGGGCAGUGGAUGUAGGAGUCUCUUCUGGGAGCUGAACCUUUGCAGGAGGCUGGACUAGCAGGGAGAGAUGCAGAGAACUGUGGGCACAGGACAGGGUCCACCGAUUGCGAAAGCAAGAAUGGAAUGAGAAGUAUGAGCAAUGGAUCGAUAUACUAGUCGAACUGAAAUAAGAUAUUGUCAGAACUAUUUGUCCAAGGAAAAUCAGAUGUUCACAACAGAAGUUACAUUCUGAGCUAGAUUUAUCAGAGCCUCCAGCCAGGAUCACUGCACCAGGCCUAGAGAGCAGAGGGAAGAUUUGUGUCUCACUUUCCCAUGGGCCUGGAGCCCUGUGUAAGCCUCAGAGCCACUGUGAAAUCCACUGCCCCUGUGCAGACCCCGAGACAGACCCAUUCUCAGGCUGCAGCACAGCAACGUGCAAAAUCCUUGCACAGGCCGACGCAUCUUUAGAUCCCAAGAUGUGGCUGGGAGCCUCAGAGCCCUGUUUCUUACUUGAGUCCAAGUAGAAGUUCACGAGAUAUUAGAUAGGGUUCCCUGGAUUCUGCCAGAACCAGUCACCGAUUUCUUCUGAUGGAAUCACUGAUUCAUUGUGGUGAUUAUCCAAGGGUGUAUAAAUAUCUUAAAACACACAAAAUUGGGCACUUUAAAUAUCAGGGGUUUAUUUUGUUAAUUAUUCCUCAAUAAAAAGACACAUAAAAAAUAGGCUGAAACAGACCCGGCAUGGUGGCUCACGCCUGUAAUCCCAGCACUUUGGGAGGCCGAGGUGGGCGGAUCACUUAAGGUCAGGAGAUCGAGACAAUCCUGUGAAUGGUGAAACCCCAUCCCUACUAAAAAUACAAAAAAUUAGCCGGGCAUGGUGGCGGGCGCCUGUAGUCCCAG
RNAcentral lists this long non-coding RNA (1514 nucleotides) under Homo sapiens (human). RNAcentral describes it as "HSALNT0275682". The record is from RNAcentral. Lineage: Eukaryota; Metazoa; Chordata; Mammalia; Primates; Hominidae.